RNAcentral lists this long non-coding RNA (1465 nucleotides) under Monodelphis domestica (gray short-tailed opossum). RNAcentral describes it as "lncRNA (ENSMODG00000038374.1)". Lineage: Eukaryota; Metazoa; Chordata; Mammalia; Didelphimorphia; Didelphidae. The record is from RNAcentral.
UGAAGCUUUAAGAUCAUGAGUCAGGAAAACUCCAGUCCUGGGGGAAACAUUUCCUGUCAUUACUUUGAGAGGGCAGGAAGGGAAAAGGGGGUUUUGGGGGAGAUCUCAUAGAAAGGGAGAGAUGUUAGCUCUUUGCCAGGUACCAAGGUGGACCUUUGUUGGAGGAAAGGACCCCCACUCUUCCUUAAAGAACUCUCAGAUCUAUUAAGUUGAAAAACCGAGGGAAAUUCAGCAAAAGACAAAGCGGGGGUAGCACGGGGUUGGCCAAUAGGAUCUUUGGACCAAUUGGGGUUGUCUCUUCUCUCUCCUGCACGCAGGCUAAGGCUCCUUUCUCGAGGUCUGGAGCUCAAGCCCUGGCUGGCUUCUCCACUCGAAUCAGUGGCCAGACACACAUGGAACUCAAAAAACUCAAGGCUUUUGGAUUUUGAAUGGAGGAGGCCUAAGCGUCUGGGCUGAUGUUUCCAAACGCCAUUGGUUGCGGCAGGGCGAUUACAUCACCCCGGAGAGCUUUGGGAGGGAGAAAAGCUGGGAGGGAGGAAAUACUAAGAGAGGGAGAGAGAGAGGAGUGUCAGAGCCGUGCCUAGAGAGACACUGAGAUCGAGAGAAAGAGAAAGAAGACUGGAACGAGCGUUAGGAAUUGUCAUGGGCUCCCCAAAUGGGAGGCGAACCGAGUCCGUGGAAGGAAGAGCAACGGUGAAACUGGGGGAAACUCGACAAGCCAAACAGAACGGACUCUGGUGACCGAGGUCUGUGCUUUUAGGAAGAUCUCUUUGGCACCUGUGUGGAGUAUGGAGUGGAAAAUGGAAAAACUGGAAGAAGGAAGACACUUCUGCGAUCUCUUGAAACAGUCCAGGCUAGAGGUGAUAAGAGCUAGAAAUAGGGCGGUAACCAUGUGAGUGGAGAGAAAGGGAUGGACAGGAUACUGUGGAGGUAGAAUUGACAAGGCUUGGCAACAAGUGGGGUAUAUUGGGGGAAGGAGGGAGAGAUGGGGAUCAAGAAUGAAAUUAGAAGUUUCUAACUGGGGAAGCCAGAAAGUUAUGAGACAGAAACAGAGGAGGUGUUUUGUACAUGUUUUGUUUGAGAUGCCUAUGGGUCACCCAGUCUGGAUUGUCCGAUAGACAGAUGAUCGAGGUCUGAAGUUCAAGAAGGAAACCAGCACUGAUAUUUUGACCCAUAGGAGUUGAUAAGGCCUCCUAAAGAGGAAAGAGAAGAGGAAAGGUCCAGGACAAAGUCCUGGACUAAACCUUAUAUAAGAAGUCCAGGCUUUAAAACUUGAACUUAAAACUAUGCCUGUAUGCCCUGAGUUGGCUAUGAACUUACAUUAUUUCUGGGGGAACUUUGGACUACCUUCCCAAUAACAUUCACUGGCUUAGGAGUUAUAGAUAAUUCCUAGGCAGGAUGUGGAAAGGAAAGAUCAAGAACUAUUCAAGUAAGUCAAUAAGGAUUUAUUAAAUACCUACUAUGU